This 526-nucleotide unclassified non-coding RNA is filed under the name uncultured Glomeromycotina. RNAcentral's name for it is "SSU rRNA". It matches the Rfam family "Eukaryotic small subunit ribosomal RNA", at positions 571 to 1092 of the family's 1831-position model. Lineage: Eukaryota; Fungi; Glomeromycota. The record is from RNAcentral.
CAGCCGCGUAAUUCCAGCUCCAAUAGCGUAUAUUAAAGUUGUUGCAGUUAAAAAGCUCGUAGUUGAAUUUCGGGAUUGACGUGAUGGUCAUGCCUUAAGGGGUAUGAACUGUUAUUGUUGAUUUCUCACCUUCUGGAGAAACUUGAUGUCCUUUAUUGGGUGUCUUGCGGAUCCAGGACCUUUACCUUGAAAAAAUUAGAGUGUUUAAAGCAGGCAUUUUUGCUCGAAUACAUUAGCAUGGAAUAAUAGAAUAGGACGGCAUGGUUCUAUUUUGUUGGUUUCUAGGAUCACCGUAAUGAUUAAUAGGGAUAGUUGGGGGCAUUAGUAUUCAAUUGUCAGAGGUGAAAUUCUUGGAUUUAUUGAAGACUAACUACUGCGAAAGCAUUUGCCAAGGAUGUUUUCAUUAAUCAAGAACGAAAGUUAGGGGAUCGAAGACGAUCAGAUACCGUCGUAGUCUUAACCAUAAACUAUGCCGACUAGGAAUCAGACGAUGUUAAUUUUUUAAUGACUCGUUUGGCACCUUACG